RNAcentral lists this ribosomal RNA (518 nucleotides) under Corynebacterium sp. HMSC074A01. RNAcentral describes it as "bacterial LSU rRNA". It matches the Rfam family "Bacterial large subunit ribosomal RNA", at positions 695 to 1208 of the family's 2925-position model. The record is from RNAcentral. Lineage: Bacteria; Bacillati; Actinomycetota; Actinomycetes; Mycobacteriales; Corynebacteriaceae.
UUUAGUGGCAUGUCCUGGACCCGAAGCGGGGUGAUCUACCCAUGGCCAGUGUGAAGCAGCUGUAAGAGGUUGUGGAGGCGCGAACCCACGUAGGUUGAAAACUGCGGGGAUGAGUUGUGGGUAGGGGUGAAAGGCCAAUCAAACUCCGUGAUAGCUGGUUCUCCCCGAAAUGCAUUUAGGUGCAGCGUUAUAUGUUUAGCUUGCCGGAGGUAGAGCUACUGGUUGGUUGAGCGGGACUAUCAUCUUAGCAACAUCAGCCAAACUCCGAAUGCCGGUGUAAGUGUGUAUAGCAGUGAGACUGUGGGGGAUAAGCUUCAUAGUCGAGAGGGAAACAGCCCAGAUCGCCGGUUAAGGCCCCUAAGGGUGUACUAAGUGGAAAAGGAUGUGGGAUCGCGAAGACAGCCAGGAGGUUGGCUUAGAAGCAGCCAUCCUUGAAAGAGUGCGUAAUAGCUCACUGGUCGAGUGGUUCUGCGCCGACAAUGUAGUGGGGCUCAAGUACACCGCCGAAGCCGCGGCAA